Transfer RNA from Camelus ferus (Wild Bactrian camel), 72 nucleotides. It matches the Rfam family "tRNA". Rfam says of the family: Transfer RNA (tRNA) molecules are approximately 80 nucleotides in length. Their secondary structure includes four short double-helical elements and three loops (D, anti-codon, and T loops). Further hydrogen bonds mediate the characteristic L-shaped molecular structure. tRNAs have two regions of fundamental functional importance: the anti-codon, which is responsible for specific mRNA codon recognition, and the 3' end, to which the tRNAs corresponding amino acid is attached (by aminoacyl-tRNA synthetases). tRNAs cope with the degeneracy of the genetic code in two manners: having more than one tRNA (with a specific anti-codon) for a particular amino acid; and 'wobble' base-pairing, i.e. permitting non-standard base-pairing at the 3rd anti-codon position. Lineage: Eukaryota; Metazoa; Chordata; Mammalia; Artiodactyla; Camelidae. The record is from Rfam.
GAGGGUAUAACUCAGUGGCAGAGUGCAUGCCUAGCACGCAUAAGGUCCUGGGUUCAAUCCCCAGUACCCCCA